UGACAUUUCCUGAAUUGGGUGAGAUGUG
Molecule: non-coding RNA, 28 nt
Filed under: Homo sapiens (human)
Lineage: Eukaryota; Metazoa; Chordata; Mammalia; Primates; Hominidae
Source: RNAcentral